Molecule: ribosomal RNA, 472 nt
Filed under: uncultured bacterium
Lineage: Bacteria
Description: bacterial SSU rRNA
Rfam family: Bacterial small subunit ribosomal RNA
Source: RNAcentral
CCAAAGUGAGUGGCUCAUACCUGAUAGCAGGGAGGUUUCUGACAGAACAAGCACCGGCUUACUCCGUGCCAGCAGCCGCGGUAAUACGGAUGGUGCUUAGCGUUAAUCGGAAUUACUGGGCGUAAAGCGUACGGAGGCGGUUUGUUAAGCCAGAUGUGAAACCCCCAGGCUCCUGGUGUGAACUGCAUUUCAAACUGGCAAAAUUGAGUGUGAUAGAGGGAGGUAGAAUUUCAUGUGUAGGAGCGAAAUGCGUAAAGGUCUGUAGGAAUACCGAUGGUGAAGGUGACCCCCUGGAGUAUGACUGACACACAUGUUUAAAUGCCUGGGGAGCAAACAGGAUUAGAUACCCUGGUAGUCCACCUGUAAACGAUGUCUCCUAGAAGCUCCUAACCUCUCUUCUGUUUUUCCGGGGAACCCUUAAGCAGGCCCCACGGGGAAGACCGUGCCGGGGUUAAAACCUAAUUAAUUGACC